Long non-coding RNA from Capsicum annuum, 983 nucleotides. RefSeq lists it as uncharacterized. The transcript has 2 exons. The record is from RefSeq and is a predicted model, not a curated record. NCBI's taxonomy places the organism in Eukaryota, Viridiplantae, Streptophyta, Magnoliopsida, Solanales, Solanaceae.
AUAUGGACUGUAUAUGGAUUACGUAAGUCAAAAUAAUCCAAAUUAGGAAAUGACUAUAAAGUGGAAAUAGUACAUCCGAAUGAACACUUUUUAUAAAGUUUUCAAACUAGGGCUAUUUGUUUUAAAAAGUGCUAUAGAGUGUCAUUUUCCUUUUAUUAACAAAACAAAUCCAAAAAUAUUUACAAAGCCAGGCCCAAAAGUGGCCCGGCCCAAACCCGAUAAAAUUAAUCAAACAACCACCCUAUCUCGAAAUAUCAAUUAGGAAAUAAACUAAUAAGAGAUUUAUAGAAACUCUUUAUCCUCCUCUAUAACCUAGCAGCCAAUUUGUCUUCUCCAAACUUGAAAAUUGUUCCCAUGGUGAAUACGCAAAGUGAAUUUGUUAAGGUCCUUAGAAGAAGCUCGCCACCUUCACGAAUCAUCUAAGUAACAGACCUUCUUUCUUUCUUUCAUGAUUUUCUUAGCUCGGUGGGUUUAGCUUCGAUUGAAGCUAAUACCACCACCUAAGCGAGAAAAAACAAAUCAAGAAGAUUAAAGGUUCCUUAAGUAAUUCAUUUAUUUGUGAAAUAGGAUGGUCCAACCUCCGAAUCAGAAUGUCCAAAAUAGAUCUGAUGUUACUGUUGUUUGAAUACUCGACCCAAUAACAUCCCAAACUCUUACUGAAUGUAGGUGUUGCUAUUCAAAAGAAAUCACUUCCAGCACCAGGGGCUUUAUCAACUGAGGCUGCUGUCACUACUACUAUUUGUGGAAAAGAUUUGGAAACCCAAUCUUUUGUGGAUUACUACUCUACCUUGUCACUUUGUAUUUCUUGCACUUUAUUUGUUGAUAUAAUAGUUGUAUCUUCUAUAUUUUCUCUGUGUAUCCCCCUUUUCUCUAACAAAAUAUUGAAAGGGCUAUUGUCACAUAUCUCUUUAUCUGGACUUGAAGCUCUUUCACUGAGAUAUUCCAUAUUAAUAAACCUUCUUCUUGUAGGAUUCCACUUUUAA